This 250-nucleotide unclassified non-coding RNA is filed under the name plant metagenome. RNAcentral's name for it is "partial contains small subunit ribosomal RNA and internal transcribed spacer 1". The record is from RNAcentral.
UUCUCCCUAUUGAAGCCUUUAGCAGCGACUGUAAACAAAUGCCCAGUUUGCAUUCUGCAAGCAAUGCCACUCAAAUGCUGAGACUAUUGAAUCAGCAGCCUUUCAGGCUCACAGAUCAGAUAGUGGUAACCAAAUCCUUGGUCAAGAUAUGACCGGUCUUAACUAGAGUUAGUUAAGAAUCAACGUUCCGUAGGUGAACCUGCGGAAGGAUCAUUAAUAGUUUAGGGUACUGACUUAGUGCCCAAACUUC